CAAGUUCAUCUGGAUCCCCCACCAUGUCCUGGGCCCCUCUGCUCCUCACGCUGCUCACUUACUGUGUUGGUUCUGAUGCCCAGUUUGUGCUGACUCAGCCGCCCUCAGUAUCAGCAUCUCCUGGGAAAACGGUUACGAUCUCCUGUGCCAGGAGCAGCGGCAGCAUCAGCAGUAGCUGGAAUUCCUGGUACCAACAGAGCCCUGGCCGAGCUCCGGUACUGAUUAUAUAUGAGGAUAGCAAGCGGCCCUCAGGGAUUCCAAGUCGAUUCUCUGGUGCCAUUGACAGCUCUGCCAAUGCUGCCACUCUAACCAUCUCUGGAGUCCAGGCCAACGAUGAGGCUGAUUAUUAUUGUGCUACAUACACUGGCAGCAGCAAUCCCACAGUGCUGCAGACCCAUGGGGAACUGAGACCAAAACCUCCCACGGCAGCUGAAGUGAAACUCCUCCAUGAUGGUCUUAGUGUGUCUUUGUGCUGCCUGAGGCCCUGCAGCAAAAUGAACUGUCUCUCCCCGUCACAGGUGUUACAAUCCCAAAUCAAGUGCAAAAUGGUGAGGUAGCUUCUGUGCGUCUUCUUCGGGGGAGGACAGCCAGGGAGGAGCUGCCCUGUGGGGAUGCGCUGAGGCAUUGUACUGGCAUGGGGUGGACAUAGGAGAAGGCCUCACAGGACGCUGGGGAGGCAGGGGCUGGUGAAAGGAGCAGCCUGUGCUUUCCCCAUCGCUGCUGCCCAAUGCUAGCGAUCCACAGGUGUUGUGGCCCUGUCCACUGCCCACCUGGGCUGGCCAUGCUGCCCUUAGAAUGGUGGGAAGACACCAGGUGGUUGCUGACCCCAAGCCAGAACUCCAGACGAGCACCGUGUCUAUAGUGGGUCUGGCUCCUGUGCAGAGGCAUUGAGAU
Dermochelys coriacea (leatherback sea turtle) is the source of this 894-nucleotide non-coding RNA. Lineage: Eukaryota; Metazoa; Chordata; Testudines; Dermochelyidae. The record is from the annotation of a RefSeq genome assembly.